RNAcentral lists this non-coding RNA (44 nucleotides) under Prasinoderma singulare. Lineage: Eukaryota; Viridiplantae; Prasinodermophyta; Prasinodermophyceae; Prasinodermales; Prasinodermaceae. The record is from RNAcentral.
CGAAGAGGCAACGAAGUUUUUUUUUUUUUUUUUUUUUUUUUACG